CGGGUGAGUAACACGUGAGCAACCUGCCUUUCAGUGGGGGACAACAGUUGGAAACGACUGCUAAUACCGCAUAACGUGCCGGAAGGGCAUCCUUUUGGUACCAAAGAUUUAUCGCUGAAAGAUGGGCUCGCGUCUGAUUAGAUAGUUGGUGAGGUAACGGCCCACCAAGUCGACGAUCAGUAGCCGGACUGAGAGGUUGAUCGGCCACAUUGGGACUGAGACACGGCCCAGACUCCUACGGAAGGCAGCAG
RNAcentral lists this ribosomal RNA (251 nucleotides) under uncultured bacterium. Its description in RNAcentral is "partial 16S ribosomal RNA". It matches the Rfam family "Bacterial small subunit ribosomal RNA", at positions 103 to 354 of the family's 1533-position model. The record is from RNAcentral.